This 123-nucleotide ribosomal RNA is filed under the name Disa uncinata. RNAcentral's name for it is "partial 18S ribosomal RNA". It matches the Rfam family "Eukaryotic small subunit ribosomal RNA", at positions 1713 to 1831 of the family's 1831-position model. The record is from RNAcentral. Lineage: Eukaryota; Viridiplantae; Streptophyta; Magnoliopsida; Asparagales; Orchidaceae.
GAUUGCUGUGACGUGGGUGGUUCGCCGCCUUCGAUACUGCAAGAAGUUCAUUGAACCUUAUCAUUUAGAGGAAGGAGAAGUCGUAACAAGGUUUCCGUAGGUGAACCUGCGGAAGGAUCAUUG